Non-coding RNA from Triticum urartu, 3017 nucleotides. Lineage: Eukaryota; Viridiplantae; Streptophyta; Magnoliopsida; Poales; Poaceae. The record is from RefSeq and is a predicted model, not a curated record.
GCCGUUUCGAGGUGCGGGUGCGCCCUCUCCCCGCACGCUGCGUGCGCGUCGCGCCAUUUGCGGGGGCGUGGGUAACGCUGCCCUCGAAACCCCCCUCGACCCAAUCCAAUCGCCCGCACGCCGCAACCCUUCCUCCCUCCUUGAUCUCUCUCCCUCAGCCGCCACGAACCCUAGCCCCUUUUCCUACGAUCCCGCGGUCGCUGCCCUUGCUCCAUCCGACCUCCCUCGUCAGCCGCCGCCGCUAUGGCUCCUCCGUCCUCCGACUCUGUCUCCCCAAUUCAUCCUCCAUCCCUUUCUGCUCGAGGUGCUCAUCGGCCCAGGUCGUGAGGAAGCCGCGUGAGGAGGAGCCCAGGUCGCGAAGCCGCGUGAGGAGGAGAGACCUCGCCCGAGAAGCUGUGGGAGGAGGGCCUCAACCAGAGAGGAGCGGCUGCCAGCCAUGUAGUCGGCUCAGCUCGACACCGUCCUUGGCGUCCGGGCCGCGGCAGACCCUAGCGCCAUCCUUCAGGAGUCUUCACGACCGCCAGGUGCGCAUCUUUCAGGAUUUAAUAAUGAGUUAUGUUGGGCUUCAUUGGACAAAUGAUCUACCUGGAGCAAUGAUACAGCUACUGGACUGGUUUUAGUUGAUAAUAAAUUGUUCUCUAUUUCAAAGAGCAACAACACGAGAUUGUGCGCUGUCUUGCUCCAGCAUGCAAUGCGCCAGGUUCUACUGCAACAGUAUGACAUACAAAGUGAUGGAGGAGAGGUGUUCAGAGAAAGAGUUAUACAUGUGCCAGGUUCUGAAGUAUGAGGAUCCGGUGCGACAGGAAGCAGCUGUGAAUAUGGUUCCUGUAGAUGAACUUAAGGAGAAGGCGCUUAUUUCACUGGCCAAGGAAACAUGUGAAAAAGGUGGGAUCUUUCCGUCGGCUUUCGCAGCUGGCUAUAUGCAUCAUAGAGCAUCUAAUCUGCAUCAACUUUAGACAUGGUGUGGAGCGUCGACCACGGCGAGCUUGGCUAAUGUCAACACAUGAAGGUGAGUUUCACCCAAUCCCUUUUCACUCCUCUCUCUCUCCCUCUCUAAUUCCAUCUAACUCUGCAGCUCGGCAAGCUUAUGCAAUGUGCUCUGUUUCCAUACUUUUUAUUGUUUUAAAUAGAUAUCACUCAGGAGAGCAUGUUCUUUAGGUUAGCAUUACUGUGAAGGACCUAUACCUUCCUGUUUAAUUGAUUAUGUUUGCACAACAUGUAUUUUCAAAAUUAGUUGUUCAUGUGCGAAGAAUUUUGUUAGUUUUUAGUUUUAAAAAGGUAUACAUUGGUUCCUAAUUUGACCCAAGCAGCCAAAAUGGAUGGAUAUAUUUUUUGUGGUGUUCUAAGGGAAGCAGGCCCUCUGUUACAGCUUGCUAGCCAUUUUUGUUUGUGAAUACACAAGGGUGCCUUGCCUUCUCUACUCUGAUGUUUCGGGUAUUUGAUAGCCUUGCUGCACACGUUUUGUUUGAAUGUCUUUGUGAUCGUACUGACAUGUUAUAUUUCGUCCUCAGCUGGGUCAAGUACAGAAGACGAAACACAAGAUUCAAGAUCACUCUCUUGUAUGUGAUUAUUUACUCAUUUCGAGCCAUUUUGCAACCCAGCUUGACUUCUUUUAUUUUGUGAUCUGAGCUAUACACACCAAAAUUAGCCCACGCUUCAGUUAGAUGAGAGAGCUAAGAGAUAAUAUGGUAAACAAUUUCUAUCAAGUGGGUGAGCUCCAUUUUUCAAGGUAAGUCAGGUGACAGCCAAAAAAAACCAAGGAGAUGAGUCUCUUAUCAGUUGAUUUGAUCUUAUCCAGGUUCUAUUUUCUUUCAGGCCAUGAGUUACGAUGUCUUGGUUAGAGCUACUACAUUCAAAGAGUAAAUCUGUUUCGUUGUACUGGAUUUAUGUACAUUGUAUGAAAAAGGUGCAUCUAUUAUGCCCUGUAGAAUUUUCAGCUGAGCAAUUGUGUAGACUUACAAAGCUAUCAUGACCAGAUGUUAGUGAUUUUUGUAUUGGGGCCAUGUUACAUCUCUAGGGUUGAAUUAAUGGCUAGAAAUUCAGAGUUACAUAGCUGAAAACAGGGUUGCUCGAAGCAAACAAGCUGCUUAUUCAGUAUUUUUAACACUCAUGGAAAAGGUAUAUGCUCAUCCUAAAUUCCAAAUUAUUAUUAUAUCACAUAACUGAAAGUGCAUUAGACCAAUGGUGUUAUCAGAAAUAAAUUUCUGCCCCAUAGCUGAACGGUGUCUUUUCUCAGUGUGUAUAUAUGUUAGAGAUGUGUAUGAUUCGGAUAAUUUUCUUCAUUUGUUAACUUUACCAAUGUAUGGCUGACAUGCUUCAUUAUGUUAUAUCACAUCUGAAAGUGCAUUACACCGGUGGUUUAUUAGAAUGGAUAAUUUCGGUCAAAUAAUUGAGUUCUUUUCUUCUGUGUAUAUACAAGUUAUAGAUGUGCAUGAUUAUGUUUAUUCUCUACAUUUGGUAAAUUCACCUAUGUAUGGCUGACAUACUUCUUCAGGUUAUGUUUCUAAAGCUCCAUGCUUAAUCAUCCAGAAUGUUUCCAAGUGACUGCUUUACACAUGGGAGACUGGAUGCAUAGAGGAGUUCAGAGAAGCUGGUGUUAUGUUACAUAUGGUCUUCAAGCUGAUGUUAUGUUUCUUCCAUGGUUUGUAUAUUUGUUGCAAAAACAUAGUACAAGAAAAAGAUCUAUGCUCAUGAAGAUGGCAGAAGGGAACUACAUGUGGAACAAGAACCACCAGCGCUGACCAGUUGGGCGUCUGGAUAGUGGUAGUGCACAAAAAUUGCUUGCCGUAUAGAGUCAACGUAAUCUACUACUAGGCCACUCGCUGAUUUUUAUGUUAUGAAAUUAUAGUUCAACCAUAGUAUGUAUUUACACUCCUGCUGUGAGAUUGUACUACAUAAAUUAUGGGAGGACAAAGUAGGCCUUUAUAUGCAAAUAACUCCUUGUUGAAAUGAGUAACUUGAGCCAUUUGGCACAACAGGUCUAUUUUCUUACUUGCAAUAAUGUGCAUUGCCUUUUA